Molecule: ribosomal RNA, 465 nt
Filed under: Vreelandella stevensii
Lineage: Bacteria; Pseudomonadati; Pseudomonadota; Gammaproteobacteria; Oceanospirillales; Halomonadaceae
Description: partial 16S ribosomal RNA
Rfam family: Bacterial small subunit ribosomal RNA
Source: RNAcentral
CCUACGGGUGGCAGCAGUGGGGAAUAUUGGACAAUGGGGGCAACCCUGAUCCAGCCAUGCCGCGUGUGUGAAGAAGGCCCUCGGGUGGUAAAGCACUUUCAGUGAGGAAGAACGCCUGGUGGUUUAUACCCAUCAGGAAAGACAUCACUCACAGAAGAAGCACCGGCUAACUCCGUGCCAGCAGCCGCGGUAAUACGGAGGGUGCGAGCGUUAAUCGGAAUUACUGGGCGUAAAGCGCGCGUAGGUGGCUUGAUAAGCCGGUUGUGAAAGCCCCGGGCUCAACCUGGGAACGGCAUCCGGAACUGUCAAGCUAGUGUGCAGGAGAGGAAGGUAGAAUUCCCGGUGUAGCGGUGAAAUGCGUAGAGAUCGGGAGGAAUACCAGUGGCGAAGGCGGCCUUCUGGACUGACACUGACACUGAGGUGCGAAAGCGUGGGUAGCAAACAGGAUUAGAUACCCCAGUAGUC